RNAcentral lists this long non-coding RNA (204 nucleotides) under Elaeis guineensis (African oil palm). RNAcentral's name for it is "long non-coding RNA (EGUI_LNC024452)". The record is from RNAcentral. Lineage: Eukaryota; Viridiplantae; Streptophyta; Magnoliopsida; Arecales; Arecaceae.
AGCCUCUCAAAUCUCAUAGGACUACUCUUCUCUAUUAAGAUCGAUAGAUUCCAUCUAGAUACGCAUCCUACUCCUACAAUGGAUCAACUGUCGCCAACAUCUACUACAAGAUCUCAAUAAGAUUAUAUUUAUGUGUCAGUCAAACUCUAGCAGUCUUACUACGAACAGUCAUACCAUCACAGAUUAAAGGACCAUUUACACAAC